CAAAUAUUUAUAGGAUUAAGAUGGGCAUGCGUGUCAUUAGCUAGUUGGCGGGGUAACGGCCCACCAAGGCGACGAUGACUAGGGGAUCUGAGAGGAUGACCCCCCACACUGGUACUGAGACACGGACCAGACUCCUACGGGAGGCAGCAGUAAGGAAUAUUGGUCAAUGGAGGCAACUCUGAACCAGCCAUGCCGCGUGCAGGAAGACAGCCCUCUGGGUCGUAAACUGCUUUUAUUCGGGAAUAAACCACAUUACGUGUAAUGUGCUGAAUGUACCGAAGGAAUAAGGAUCGGCUAACUCCGUGCCAGCAGCCGCGGUAAUACGGAGGAUCCAAGCGUUAUCCGGAUUUAUUGGGUUUAAAGGGUGCGUAGGCGGCUUAUUAAGUCAGGGGUGAAAGACGGUGGCUCAACCAUCGCAGUGCCUUUGAUACUGAUGAGCUUGAAUACACUAGAGGUAGGCGGAAUGUGACAAGUAGCGGUGAAAUGCAUAGAUAUGUCACAGAACACCGAUUGCGAAGGCAGCUUACUAUGGUGUGAUUGACGCUGAGGCACGAAAGCGUGGGGAUCAAACAGGAUUAGAUACCCUGGUAGUCCACGCCCUAAACGAUGAAUACUCGCUGUUAGCGAUAUACAGUUAGCGGCUAAGCGAAAGCGUUAAGUAUUCCACCUGGGGAAUACGCCCGCAAGGGUGAAACUCAAAGGAAUUGACGGGGGCCCGCACAAGCGGAGGAGCAUGUGGUUUAAUUCGAUGAUACGCGAGGAACCUUACCCGGGCUUGAAAGUUAGUGAAUCAUUUAGAGAUAGAUGAGUCCGCAAGGACACGAAACUAGGUGCUGCAUGGCUGUCGUCAGCUCGUGCCGUGAGGUGUUGGGUUAAGUCCCGCAACGAGCGCAACCCCUAUGUUUAGUUGCCAGCACGUUAUGGUGGGGACUCUAAACAGACUGCCUGUGCAAACAGAGAGGAAGGAGGGGACGACGUCAAGUCAUCAUGGCCCUUACGUCCGGGGCUACACACGUGCUACAAUGGAUGGUACAGAGGGCAGCAAGCUGGCAACAGCAAGCGAAUCUCAAAAAGCCAUUCACAGUUCGGAUAGGGGUCUGCAACUCGACCUCUUGAAGUUGGAUUCGCUAGUAAUCGCGUAUCAGCAAUGACGCGGUGAAUACGUUCCCGGGCCUUGUACACACCGCCCGUCAAGCCAUGGAAGUUGGGGGUACCUAAAGUAUGUAACCGCAAGGAGCGUCCUAGGGUAAAACCGAUAACUGGGGCUAAGUCGUAACAAGGUA
RNAcentral lists this ribosomal RNA (1283 nucleotides) under metagenome. RNAcentral's name for it is "bacterial SSU rRNA". It matches the Rfam family "Bacterial small subunit ribosomal RNA", at positions 202 to 1498 of the family's 1533-position model. The record is from RNAcentral.